RNAcentral lists this unclassified non-coding RNA (691 nucleotides) under Hevea brasiliensis (rubber tree). The record is from RNAcentral. Lineage: Eukaryota; Viridiplantae; Streptophyta; Magnoliopsida; Malpighiales; Euphorbiaceae.
CCUGGCUCUCUUGAGAAUCUUCAUUUCCUUGAGAAAAAUCAACAGUAGUAUAUGUUCUUACCCCUGGACCAUGUCCAUUACAAUCCAUCUCCCUUCCUUGUUGUGCACGUCUUACCUCCUUCUGGUGCUCAGUUAGUUCCAAUCUUUUCUUUUUGAACUCGAACACAACUUAUCUUUGUGCUCAAAUUGAUUCACUGUAUCCUCCAUGAGUUCUACUCGUUUUGAGCUCCUGCUAUGCAUUGCAGUCACCUUGUAUCUUUGAGCAGUGAACUCUGGUUUAGAAUUACAUUUUACAAGAAAUGGCAGGCUUUUCUUGUGGAGCUUUAUUUUUUCAGUUCUGGACAGCUUGUCUAAGACAUCAAGUAAUCUCUCAGGGUAAUCUAAGUUAAUCUGCUCACCAUAUGUUGAAUUCCAGAAGGUGAUGGUAAGCUCAGAAAUAAUGCAAUCUGGAUGAUCGAGAGUUUUUUCUAGGAGGGGUGCCUGAAGUUUGAGGAACAAUGAAUCAAAUACUAUUGGUGGCUGACUCCUCUUUAAACAAUCAAGGAUUUCAGCCCACAGACGUUGAAGUUGAUCAUUGGUAUUGCCAUCAUGUAUUCCUCCAUGUGACAACCACUGAACUAGUGGACAAGUUAUUAUCUCAAUAACAGAAAGAAUAGUUUGCUUCAAGUGAAGGCAUCUCACAAGACUUGUC